RNAcentral lists this ribosomal RNA (478 nucleotides) under uncultured bacterium. RNAcentral describes it as "partial 16S ribosomal RNA". It matches the Rfam family "Bacterial small subunit ribosomal RNA", at positions 28 to 523 of the family's 1533-position model. The record is from RNAcentral.
GACGAACGCUGGCGGCGUGCUUAACACAUGCAAGUCGAACGGUAAGGCCCUUCGGGGUACACGAGUGGCGAACGGGUGAGUAACACGUGGGUGAUCUGCCCUGCACUUCGGGAUAAGCCUGGGAAACUGGGUCUAAUACCGGAUAGGACCACUGCCUGCAUGGGUGGUGGUGGAAAGCUUUUGCGGUGUGGGAUGGGCCCGCGGCCUAUCAGCUUGUUGGUGGGGUGAUGGCCUACCAAGGCGACGACGGGUAGCCGGCCUGAGAGGGUGACCGGCCAGACGGGGACUGGGAUACGGCCCAGACUCCUACGGGAGGCAGCAGUGGGGAAUAUUGCACAAUGGGCGCAAGCCUGAUGCAGCGACGCCGCGUGAGGGAUGACGGCCUUCGGGUUGUAAACCUCUUUCAGCACCGACGAAGCGUAAGUGACGGUAGGUGCAGAAGAAGGACCGGCCAACUACGUGCCAGCCGCCGCCGUAA